Molecule: ribosomal RNA, 1233 nt
Filed under: Enterococcus casseliflavus
Lineage: Bacteria; Bacillati; Bacillota; Bacilli; Lactobacillales; Enterococcaceae
Description: bacterial SSU rRNA
Rfam family: Bacterial small subunit ribosomal RNA
Source: RNAcentral
GGGACGUGCGGCGUUGCUAUACAUGCAGUCGAACGCUUUUUCUUUCACCGGAGCUUGCUCCACCGAAAGAAAAAGAGUGGCGAACGGGUGAGUAACACGUGGGUAACCUGCCCAUCAGAAGGGGAUAACACUUGGAAACAGGUGCUAAUACCGUAUAACACUAUUUUCCGCAUGGAAGAAAGUUGAAAGGCGCUUUUGCGUCACUGAUGGAUGGACCCGCGGUGCAUUAGCUAGUUGGUGAGGUAACGGCUCACCAAGGCAACGAUGCAUAGCCGACCUGAGAGGGUGAUCGGCCACACUGGGACUGAGACACGGCCCAGACUCCUACGGGAGGCAGCAGUAGGGAAUCUUCGGCAAUGGACGAAAGUCUGACCGAGCAACGCCGCGUGAGUGAAGAAGGUUUUCGGAUCGUAAAACUCUGUUGUUAGAGAAGAACAAGGAUGAGAGUAGAACGUUCAUCCCUUGACGGUAUCUAACCAGAAAGCCACGGCUAACUACGUGCCAGCAGCCGCGGUAAUACGUAGGUGGCAAGCGUUGUCCGGAUUUAUUGGGCGUAAAGCGAGCGCAGGCGGUUUCUUAAGUCUGAUGUGAAAGCCCCCGGCUCAACCGGGGAGGGUCAUUGGAAACUGGGAGACUUGAGUGCAGAAGAGGAGAGUGGAAUUCCAUGUGUAGCGGUGAAAUGCGUAGAUAUAUGGAGGAACACCAGUGGCGAAGGCGGCUCUCUGGUCUGUAACUGACGCUGAGGCUCGAAAGCGUGGGGAGCGAACAGGAUUAGAUACCCUGGUAGUCCACGCCGUAAACGAUGAGUGCUAAGUGUUGGAGGGUUUCCGCCCUUCAGUGCUGCAGCAAACGCAUUAAGCACUCCGCCUGGGGGAGUACGACCCGCAAGGUUGAAACUCAAAGGAAUUGACGGGGGCCCGCACAAGCGGUGGAGCAUGUGGUUUAAUUCGAAGCAACGCGAAGAACCUUACCAGGUCUUGACAUCCUUUGACCACUCUAGAGAUAGAGCUUCCCCUUCGGGGGCAAAGUGACAGGUGGGGGCAAGGGUUGUCGUCAGCUCCUGUCCUGAGAAGUUUGGGGUUAAAUCCCGCAACGAGCGCAACCCUUAUUUGUUAGUUGCCACCAUUUUAGUUGGGGACUCUACCGAGACUGCCGGUGAAAACCCGAGGGAAGGGGGGGGGGUGAGGAGUCAAAUACUUAAUUGCCCCUCUAUUAACUGGGGGGUCCACACUG